Molecule: long non-coding RNA, 812 nt
Filed under: Brassica napus (rape)
Lineage: Eukaryota; Viridiplantae; Streptophyta; Magnoliopsida; Brassicales; Brassicaceae
Description: long non-coding RNA (BNAP_LNC000598)
Source: RNAcentral
AGUUUAUACUUGGGUUUAGGUUUAAUGAUUAAGAUUUAGGGUUUAGUAUUUGGAAGGUGGGGUUGAUGUUUGGGUUUAGUGACCGUAUUAUGUAUGUUCCAUUUGACGAUUAAAAAAAAGUGUUUUUUUUGCUUACCAAUUUAUACUAUACUAUGUAUUUUGUUCCAUUCUAUUUGGGUUUAUAGUCUAUACUUGGGUUUAGAGUUUAGUGAUUAGGAUUUAGGGUUUAGUAUUUGGAAGGUGAGAGUUUAGGUUUGGGUUUAGUGAUAGCAUUUUUGGGUUUAGUAUUCAAAAGUUAGGUUUGAGUUUAGCAUUGAGGAGUUUUGUUUGGAUUUAGUUUAAUAUUAUAUAAUAUUAUAUACUAUUUUCAGAUUUUGAUAAUUGAGUUUAAGGUUUAUAUUUGGGUUUAGGGUUCAGUAAUUAGGGUUUAGGGUUUAGUAUUUAGAUGGAAGGGUGAUGUUUAAAGUUUAGGGUUUAUUAUUUUGGAGUUGAGGUUUGGAUUAAAGUUUAGUAUUUACUAGGUGUGAGUGGAUUUUGAAUCCUAUUAUUUUUAGUAAUAUGGUAUAGAAAAAUUAGAUGUAUAUUUAUGUGUUAAACAAAAGUGUGGUGUUGAUUGAAUUACGUGUGAUAAUUAAUUGUGGGGUGUCAAAUUGUUGAUGUCAUCAGUUUCUCUCUCUAUUACUGGCAACUUGAACAAAAAAGGGCAUUACCAGAUAGAAGUUGACAUAAUUGUUAUGAGCUUUAUUAUGUCAAAAUCAAUGCUAUGCACUUAAUUUCCUUCUCAAAUUUGGUCAUUUGGCUAAUUCACCCUU